GUGUUGUAAUUGGAACCUUGGUCAACAUCCCGGAAUUUAUGAAUGAGAGGAUUGUGAUUCCUGUCGUCGUGGGUUCGAGUCCCAUCAGCCACCCCA
This 96-nucleotide transfer RNA is filed under the name Burkholderia cenocepacia. RNAcentral describes it as "tRNA-His". Lineage: Bacteria; Pseudomonadati; Pseudomonadota; Betaproteobacteria; Burkholderiales; Burkholderiaceae. The record is from RNAcentral.